RNAcentral lists this ribosomal RNA (321 nucleotides) under Nematoda environmental sample. RNAcentral's name for it is "SSU rRNA". It matches the Rfam family "Eukaryotic small subunit ribosomal RNA", at positions 1300 to 1645 of the family's 1831-position model. The record is from RNAcentral. Lineage: Eukaryota; Metazoa; Nematoda.
GGUGGAGCGAUUUGUCUGGUUAAUUCCGAUAACGAACGAGACUCUGGCCUAUUAAAUAGACGGUAUAUUUAAAAGUAUAUCGCGCUUCUUAGAGGGACAAGCGGCGUCUAGCCGCAUGAAAUAGAGCAAUAACAGGUCUGUGAUGCCCUUAGAUGUCCGGGGCUGCACGCGCGCUACACUGAAAGAAUCAGUGGGCGUCAUACCUAGUUCGGAAGGACCGGGUAACCCAAGUAAAUUCUUUCGUGCUUGGGAUAGGGAAUUGCAAUUAUUUCCCUUAAACGAGGAAUUCCCAGUAAAUGCGGGUCAUAAGCUCGCGUUGAU